CUAAAGGUUCUGAGUCAGUAUUACAAAUCAAGUCCAAUCAUACUUUUAGAAGGGGAAAAUAGUAAUAGCAGUUGCUGAACCGAAAUUA
Molecule: long non-coding RNA, 88 nt
Organism: Phyllostomus discolor (pale spear-nosed bat)
Lineage: Eukaryota; Metazoa; Chordata; Mammalia; Chiroptera; Phyllostomidae
Exons: 3
Source: RefSeq, a predicted model, not a curated record